GAUGAACGCUGGCGGCGUGCCUAAUACAUGCAAGUCGAGCGAACGGACGAGAAGCUUGCUUCUCUGAUGUUAGCGGCGGACGGGUGAGUAACACGUGGAUAACCUACCUAUAAGACUGGGAUAACUUCGGGAAACCGGAGCUAAUACCGGAUAAUAUUUUGAACCGCAUGGUUCAAAAGUGAAAGACGGUCUUGCUGUCACUUAUAGAUGGAUCCGCGCUGCAUUAGCUAGUUGGUAAGGUAACGGCUUACCAAGGCAACGAUGCAUAGCCGACCUGAGAGGGUGAUCGGCCACACUGGAACUGAGACACGGUCCAGACUCCUACGGGAGGCAGCAGUAGGGAAUCUUCCGCAAUGGGCGAAAGCCUGACGGAGCAACGCCGCGUGAGUGAUGAAGGUCUUCGGAUCGUAAAACUCUGUUAUUAGGGAAGAACAUAUGUGUAAGUAACUGUGCACAUCUUGACGGUACCUAAUCAGAAAGCCACGGCUAACUACGUGCCAGCAGCCGCGGUAAUAUGUAGGUGGCAAGCGUUAUCCGGAAUUAUUGGGCGUAAAGCGCGCGUAGGCGGUUUUUUAAGUCUGAUGUGAAAGCCCACGGCUCAACCGUGGAGGGUCAUUGGAAACUGGAAAACUUGAGUGCAGAAGAGGAAAGUGGAAUUCCAUGUGUAGCGGUGAAAUGCGCAGAGAUAUGGAGGAACACCAGUGGCGAAGGCGACUUUCUGGUCUGUAACUGACGCUGAUGUGCGAAAGCGUGGGGAUCAAACAGGAUUAGAUACCCUGGUAGUCCACGCCGUAAUCGAUGAGUGCUAAGUGUUAGGGGGUUUCCGCCCCUUAGUGCUGCAGCUAACGCAUUAAGCACUCCGCCUGGGGAGUACGACCGCAAGGUUGAAACUCAAAGGAAUUGACGGGGACCCGCACAAGCGGUGGAGCAUGUGGUUUAAUUCGAAGCAACGCGAAGAACCUUACCAAAUCUUGACAUCCUUUGACAACUCUAGAGAUAGAGCCUUCCCCUUCGGGGGACAAAGUGACAGGUGGUGCAUGGUUGUCGUCAGCUCGUGUCGUGAGAUGUUGGGUUAAGUCCCGCAACGAGCGCAACCCUUAAGCUUAGUUGCCAUCAUUAAGUUGGGCACUCUAAGUUGACUGCCGGUGACAAACCGGAGGAAGGUGGGGAUGACGUCAAAUCAUCAUGCCCCUUAUGAUUUGGGCUACACACGUGCUACAAUGGACAAUACAAAGGGCAGCGAAACCGCGAGGUCAAGCAAAUCCCAUAAAGUUGUUCUCAGUUCGGAUUGUAGUCUGCAACUCGACUACAUGAAGCUGGAAUCGCUAGUAAUCGUAGAUCAGCAUGCUACGGUGAAUACGUUCCCGGGUCU
RNAcentral lists this ribosomal RNA (1372 nucleotides) under uncultured bacterium. RNAcentral describes it as "bacterial SSU rRNA". It matches the Rfam family "Bacterial small subunit ribosomal RNA", at positions 28 to 1381 of the family's 1533-position model. The record is from RNAcentral.